UACUGAUUGAAGGCUCAAAUGACUGAGC
RNAcentral lists this non-coding RNA (28 nucleotides) under Bombyx mori (domestic silkworm). Lineage: Eukaryota; Metazoa; Arthropoda; Insecta; Lepidoptera; Bombycidae. The record is from RNAcentral.